Long non-coding RNA from Varanus komodoensis (Komodo dragon), 513 nucleotides. RefSeq lists it as uncharacterized. The record is from RefSeq and is a predicted model, not a curated record. The transcript is spliced from 2 exons. Lineage: Eukaryota; Metazoa; Chordata; Lepidosauria; Squamata; Varanidae.
AUGGAACAAUCGCCCUAUAUUAGGGUUAGGGAUUUUCACCAGGCUGGGGUUAGGAUUAGAAAAACUAGCUGUCCUGGGACAAUUUUGAUCGUUGCAUUGGGCUGGGAAUGGGAAGACAUGUUGAGCUGAGCAAAAAAACCAAGUUUGGGAGGCUUUUUAAACAAUCGCACUAUUAUGAAUGGAACAAUCGCCCUAUAUUAGGGUUAGGGAUUUUCACCAGGCUAGGGUAAGGGUUGGAAAACCUAGGUGCACAGAAACAAUUUUUAUGGUUGCAUUAGGCCAGGAAUGGGAAGCAAUGUUGAGCUGUGCAAAAAAACCAAGUCUGGGAGGCUUUUUAAAAAAUCGCACUAUUAUGAAUGGAGCAAUCGCCCUAUAUUAGGGUUAGGGAUUUUCACCAGGCUAGGGUUAGGGUUAGAAAACCUAGGUGUCCUGGGACAAUUUUGAUGGUUGCAUUAGGCCGGGAAUGGGAAGUAAUGUUGAUCUGUGCAAAAAAUCCAACCCUGGGAGGGUUUU